GCUGGGUGUGGUGGCGAGUGCCUAUAAUCCCAGUUACUCAGGAGGCUGAGGCAGGAGAAUCACUUGAAUUCAGGAGGCAGAGGGUGCAGUGAGCUCAGAUUGAGCCACUGCACUCCAGCCUGGGUGACAGAGCGAGACUCUGUCUCAA
Molecule: unclassified non-coding RNA, 148 nt
Organism: Papio anubis (olive baboon)
Lineage: Eukaryota; Metazoa; Chordata; Mammalia; Primates; Cercopithecidae
Rfam family: Metazoan signal recognition particle RNA
About the family: The signal recognition particle (SRP) is a universally conserved ribonucleoprotein. It is involved in the co-translational targeting of proteins to membranes.
Source: Ensembl